AUUGAACGCUGGCGGCAUGCCUUACACAUGCAAGUCGAACGGCAGCGCGGGGCAACCUGGCGGCGAGUGGCGAACGGGUGAGUAAUAUAUCGGAACAUACCCUAGAGUGGGGGAUAACGUAGCGAAAGUUACGCUAAUACCGCAUACGAUCCAAGGAUGAAAGCAGGGGACCUUCGGGCCUUGUGCUCCUGGAGCGGCCGAUAUCUGAUUAGCUAGUUGGUGGGGUAAAAGCCUACCAAGGCGACGAUCAGUAGCUGGUCUGAGAGGACGACCAGCCACACUGGAACUGAGACACGGUCCAGACUCCUACGGGAGGCAGCAGUGGGGAAUUUUGGACAAUGGGGGCGAACCCUGAUCCAGCAAUGCCGCGUGAGUGAAGAAGGCCU
RNAcentral lists this ribosomal RNA (386 nucleotides) under uncultured bacterium. RNAcentral's name for it is "bacterial SSU rRNA". It matches the Rfam family "Bacterial small subunit ribosomal RNA", at positions 30 to 417 of the family's 1533-position model. The record is from RNAcentral.